Molecule: ribosomal RNA, 468 nt
Filed under: uncultured bacterium
Lineage: Bacteria
Description: partial 16S ribosomal RNA
Rfam family: Bacterial small subunit ribosomal RNA
Source: RNAcentral
GACGAACGCUGGCGGCGUGCUUAACACAUGCAAGUCGAACGAAACGGUCCUGCCUUUUUGGGGAGCUCGAGUGACGAACGGGUGAGUUACACGUAGGUUCCCUGCCAUUGCCUUUAGGAUAUCCUAAGGCCACUUGGGGUAAUCCGGCAUAGGAUCUAUUGCUGCUUGGUGGGCCUUGGUUAGUUUCGGCGGUUGGGAAUGGAAUCGCGGCUCAUCAGCUUGUUGGUUGGGUAGUGGCUUACCAAGGCAUUGAACGGUAGCAGGGCUGGGCGGGGGACCGGCCACGUUAGAACUGGGAUACGGCACAGACUCGUACCGGAGGCAGCGGUGGGGAAUAGUGCACAAGGGGCUGAAGCCUGACGCAGCAACGCCGCGUGCGGGAUGACGUCCAGCGGGUUGUAUUCCGCAUCCGCCUGUGACGAAGCGUUAGUGACGGUAAUGGGUAAAGAAGCACCGGCUAACUACGUG